GAGUUUGAACCUGGCUCAGGACGAACGCUGGCGGCGCGCCUAACACAUGCAAGUCGAACGGAGCUUAUAUUUCAGAAGUUUUCGGAUGGACGAGAGAUAAGCUUAGUGGCGGACGGGUGAGUAACACGUGAGCAACCUGCCUUUCAGAGGGGGAUAACAGUUGGAAACGACUGCUAAUACCGCAUAACGCUGCGAUGGGGCAUCCCGAUGCAGCCAAAGGAGCAAUCCGCUGGAAGAUGGGCUCGCGGCCGAUUAGCUAGUUGGUGGGGCAACGGCCCACCAAGGCGACGAUCGGUAGCCGGACUGAGAGGUUGAUCGGCCACAUUGGGACUGAGACACGGCCCAGACUCCUACGGGAGGCAGCAGUGGGGGAUAUUGCACAAUGGAGGAAACUCUGAUGCAGCGACGCCGCGUGAGGGAAGACGGUCUUCGGAUUGUAAACCUCUGUCUUUGGGGAAGAAAAUGACGGUACCCAAAGAGGAAGCUCCGGCUAACUACGUGCCAGCAGCCG
Molecule: ribosomal RNA, 511 nt
Filed under: uncultured bacterium
Lineage: Bacteria
Description: bacterial SSU rRNA
Rfam family: Bacterial small subunit ribosomal RNA
Source: RNAcentral